Alosa sapidissima (American shad) is the source of this 388-nucleotide long non-coding RNA. RefSeq lists it as uncharacterized. Lineage: Eukaryota; Metazoa; Chordata; Actinopteri; Clupeiformes; Clupeidae. The record is from RefSeq and is a predicted model, not a curated record. The transcript has 2 exons.
ACACUGAAGCCCCGUUAGGUCCUGCACGGCACAUUACAGACACAUGCAAAACAUCAUUUUCAUUUCUAGAAAGUCUUCCAUGAACUAACUUAGUGUGUCCAGAUAGGAUACACUCUUUGAAAUGACACUGUGUGACCACUUCAUAGUGAAUAGAGUUGUGAAAUGUGAAAAAAUAAUGCUAGACUACAGUCGGUGUGGGAAGAUAAGAUCUUGUUCAGCCAUUUACAGGAGCAGAGGCUGAAGGCGGAGCACAACGAGCCUCACGUGGGCACCUGGACCCUCCAUCCUCCAUGGACAUGAUCAGCUGAUUCUAAUUAGCACAACUGUCCACCUCUGUAUUUUCAGCCAAUUAGCCCAGUUAGGAAAUAAAUGACUUGGCUAAACAGCC